Non-coding RNA from Echria macrotheca, 105 nucleotides. Lineage: Eukaryota; Fungi; Ascomycota; Sordariomycetes; Sordariales; Schizotheciaceae. The record is from the annotation of a GenBank genome assembly.
UCUCUGGUAGUAUAGUGGUCAGUAUGUGAGCUUGUCAAGCUGGGCUUUCUAGUAAAAAGUCCCCUGACUUCGCUCGAGACCCGGGUUCAAUUCCCGGCCGGAGAG